CUCAGAUCACGUAAGGCUUUAAAGGUUGAACAAACCUACUUUAUAGGGCUGCUGCGCCCAAUAGUUGCCUUAAGCCAACAUCGAGGUGCCAAGCCCUCCUGACAAUUUGGGCUCUUUAGGAGGAUUAGUCUGUUAUCCCUGCGGUAGCUGGUUUUUUUGGUCGCGUUAAGGUGCGGAUCAGGUGGUUGUAGGCUGAGAAGCCUUGUAGAGGUAGGGACGUUAGUUUGGUAUAGUGGUCCCAAGUCGCCCCAACUUAAUUUGAUCAGGGAUUAGCUUAUGAUUGUGGGAGUCUAGAGCUUAAAUGGGUUUCAAAUUGAAGCUCGACAGGGUCUUCUUGUCCUUUUUAGGUAUUCGAGCCUCUUCACUCGAAGGUUAGUUUGCAUUGGUGUGAGGGAGACAGCUUGGCUUUCGUUUGUCCUUUCAUUCUAGCCUCUAAUUAAGAGGCGAGUGAUUAUGCUACCUUUGCACGGUCAGGGUAGCCGCGGCCGUUGAAAUUUUUGGUUCACUGGGCAGGAUUAACCUUACAUCAUUUAUCGUGAGGCAAUGUUUUUG
Molecule: ribosomal RNA, 552 nt
Filed under: Drilonereis longa
Lineage: Eukaryota; Metazoa; Annelida; Polychaeta; Eunicida; Oenonidae
Description: partial 16S ribosomal RNA
Source: RNAcentral